This 519-nucleotide ribosomal RNA is filed under the name uncultured eukaryote. RNAcentral describes it as "SSU rRNA". It matches the Rfam family "Eukaryotic small subunit ribosomal RNA", at positions 1161 to 1699 of the family's 1831-position model. The record is from RNAcentral.
AGGGCACCACCAGGAGUGGAGCCUGCGGCUUAAUUUGACUCAACACGGGAAAACUCACCCGGCCCGGACACUGGAAGGAUUGACAGAUUGAGAGCUCUUUCUUGAUUCAGUGGGUGGUGGUGCAUGGCCGUUCUUGGUUGGUGGAGCGAUUUGUCUGGUUAAUUCCGAUAACGAACGAGACUCUAGCCUACUAAAUAGAUCGUUGUUUUACAAACAACAGCGAGACUUCUUAGAGGGACAGGCGGUGAUUCAACCGCACGAAACAGAGCAAUAACAGGUCUGUGAUGCCCUUAGAUGUCCGGGGCCGCACGCGCGCUACACUGAAGUGAUCAGCGUGCUCUUUUAACCUAGUCUGUCAAGACCAGGAAACCCAAUGAGCCUUCUUCGUGAUUGGGAUAGGAGAUUGUAAUUAUUCUCCUUGAACGAGGAAUUCCCAGUAAGCGCGAGUCAUAAGCUCGCGUUGAUUACGUCCCUGCCCUUUGUACACACCGCCCGUCGCUACUACCGAUUGAAUGUUUU